UCGAGAAUAGUCUACAAUGGUCGAAAGACUGAUAGUGCGACGCCGCGUGAACGAAGAAUCCCUUCGGGGUGUAAAGUUCUUUUUUAAUCGAGCAAUGCCUUUUAUGUGAUAAGCAUGAGAGGAGAGAUAUUAGGUUAAGAAUAAGCAACGGCUAACUCCGUGCCAGCAGCCGCGGUAACACGGGGGUUGCAAGCGUUGUCCGGAAUUACUAGGCGUAAAGGGCAGGUAGGCGGAUAUAUAAGUUUUGUGUUAAAGGCAUCGGCUUAACCGGUGUAAGGCAUAGGAUACUGUAUAUCUGGAAUGCGGUUGAGGAAGACAGAAUUCCUGGUGUAGCGGUGGAAUGCGCAGAGAUCAGGAGGAAUACCAAAGGCGAAAGCGAUCUACUGGGCCUUAACAGACACUGAGACGCGAAAGCCAGGGUAGCAAACG
RNAcentral lists this ribosomal RNA (429 nucleotides) under uncultured prokaryote. Its description in RNAcentral is "bacterial SSU rRNA". It matches the Rfam family "Bacterial small subunit ribosomal RNA", at positions 355 to 774 of the family's 1533-position model. The record is from RNAcentral.